CGACACCACUCGCUGAAACAGCGAAGGUGGAAUACGGAGACAUACAAUAGGUGUUGAACAGCAUAUUUGAGCCUGAAUCAUUGAGGAAGAAUCUGAAAUAGAGGAGCAACCAGUCGCCCAUAGAUUGGAAAUGACUACUUCAGAGUGGUUAUUAAAAGAAUGACCCAGGUUCCUGAGGAGCUGACCUGAAUGACCAUCAUGGCCUCGAUCCGUUGUGCCUCUAUAUUCUUUGCAAAAUGCAAGCCAUGGCCGUUUGAGAAUCAGGGGGAUGGAAAGGCAAUGAAAUGACUUGGCCUACAGGUCUUUUGUGAGCAGGAGCUGGGGUUUCCUUAGAAGAAGCGUCUGUGUCAUGAUACCCUCGUGUGUUGUGCUACGCAUAUGGAGGGAGCUUCUGGCUACUUCAGGGCAGUACGUUGGAUUCAGACCCCUUUUUGACUGAACCGUGACACAUGUUCAGCAACAGCAUCCUCCAUGGAAGGUCUGUCAAGUUGAGCACACAAGUCCUGGGGCACAGGAAUCCGCUGGACGGCAUCCCAAUAAGGAAGAGGGUCUUUCAUGAUCUCGAAGAGGACAAGAAAAAGGACUUAUAUUGGAUACUGUAAUACAGUGCAUUGUAGGCUGUACAAUAAACAAAUUGUAUGGCCCUGAACAUUGUGCUUUGUUUACAGUACUGAUGAUGAUUUCGACACCAGUAGCAAGACAGCCUGUUGUGUGUGAAUCGAUAAGUUCUUUUUAGUGCCUAUAC
Long non-coding RNA from Alosa alosa (allis shad), 745 nucleotides. RefSeq lists it as uncharacterized. The transcript is spliced from 3 exons. Lineage: Eukaryota; Metazoa; Chordata; Actinopteri; Clupeiformes; Clupeidae. The record is from RefSeq and is a predicted model, not a curated record.